AUGGGAGCUUGCUCCCUGAUCUUAGCGGCGGACGGGUGAGUAACACGUGGGCAACCUGCCCUGCAGACUGGGAUAACUCCGGGAAACCGGAGCUAAUACCGGGUAAUACAUCGCACCGCAUGGUGCAAUGUUGAAAGUUGGCUUUCGAGCUAACACUGCAGGAUGGGCCCGCGGCGCAUUAGCUAGUUGGUAAGGUAAUGGCUUACCAAGGCGACGAUGCGUAGCCGACCUGAGAGGGUGAUCGGCCACACUGGGACUGAGACACGGCCCAGACUCCUACGGGAGGCAGCAGUAGGGAAUCUUCCGCAAUGGACGAAAGUCUGACGGAGCAACGCCGCGUGAGUGACGAAGGCCUUCGGGUCGUAAAGCUCUGUUGUUAGGGAAGAACAAGUACCGUUCGAAUAGGGCGGUACCUUGACGGUACCUAACCAGAAAGCCACGGCUAACUACGUGCCAGCAGCCGCGGUAAUACGUA
This 475-nucleotide ribosomal RNA is filed under the name Bacillus sp. SIMO IS-S74-236. RNAcentral describes it as "bacterial SSU rRNA". It matches the Rfam family "Bacterial small subunit ribosomal RNA", at positions 72 to 529 of the family's 1533-position model. Lineage: Bacteria; Bacillati; Bacillota; Bacilli; Caryophanales; Bacillaceae. The record is from RNAcentral.